UACGUAGGGCGCAAGCGUUAUCCGGAAUUAUUGGGCGUAAAGAGCUCGUAGGCGGUUUGUCGCGUCUGCCGUGAAAGUCCGGGGCUCAACUCCGGAUCUGCGGUGGGUACGGGCAGACUAGAGUGAUGUAGGGGAGACUGGAAUUCCUGGUGUAGCGGUGAAAUGCGCAGAUAUCAGGAGGAACACCGAUGGCGAAGGCAGGUCUCUGGGCAUUAACUGACGCUGAGGAGCGAAAGCCAGGGGAGCGAACGGG
This 253-nucleotide ribosomal RNA is filed under the name uncultured bacterium. RNAcentral describes it as "partial 16S ribosomal RNA". It matches the Rfam family "Bacterial small subunit ribosomal RNA", at positions 524 to 776 of the family's 1533-position model. The record is from RNAcentral.